Long non-coding RNA from Lampris incognitus (smalleye Pacific opah), 753 nucleotides. RefSeq lists it as uncharacterized. NCBI's taxonomy places the organism in Eukaryota, Metazoa, Chordata, Actinopteri, Lampriformes, Lampridae. The transcript has 3 exons. The record is from RefSeq and is a predicted model, not a curated record.
GGAGACACCGGGCGACCGUCCGGCCAGGUAGGACCAGGGAACCCAGCUGCGGUCCUCGGGCCCAUAGCCAACCCAGUCCACCAGGUAUUGGUACCCACGCCCCCGGCGGCGUACGGCGAGCAGCUGGUCGACAUCCCAGACCAUGUCACCACCGUCGAGGACCCUGGGGGGUGGCUACCGGUUUGAGGCGCGAGACAUGGAAGACGGGAUGGAUCUUGAGUGAGAUUAUUGUGGAUGCUUAUUAAGACAACCAACCCUAUUGAACGACAAUGGACCCUUUCCCCAGCAGCCAUUUUGACGUGUGAUAGUAGGGUUUUAGUGUAUCCGUUGGUGUGGCGUGGACCAUGGGAUCCUCAAGUGCCUCCGUGGGUGUGGUGUGGACCAUGGGAUCCUCAAAUGCCUCCGUGGGUGUGGCGUGGACCAUGGGAUCCUCAAGUGUCUCCAUGGGUGUGGCGUGGACCAUGGGUUCCUCCGGGUCUACAGCUGUCAGAUUCAGGGUCACAAGGUCUGAUGUCUGUGAAAAUCAGAAUGAGUUUUAUUGUUGCCACGUAGGCUUUCACCUAAGAGGAAUUUACUUGGUCAAUUAGUGCAUUCAGAAAACAAUACAUUGACGUGUCAUAACAGUGCAAAUUACAGCGAUACAGUGCAAAUGUAUGUACAGUGAUGUUUGGAAUUCAAUAUAUAUGAUAAAUAGCGCUUAUAUAGCACUUUUAUCCAUACCCAACCCUCCAAUCAUUGGACAACCUGCUCUAC